AGAGAACUUUCCCUGGUGAUAGUGCUGAGCAGAAUAGAUGAACCUGCAGAAGACCAAACUGACCCGAGGGGCGAAACCGAUAAAGGGGCGGAAUAUGGAACCAGACCAGUUAUCAAUUUUGGUAUUCCUUUGGCUUUGGUUCAGUAAGGACCCAGAUCCAGAAAGGGGCUGCAGUACAAGGCUACGUCGUUCUGCAAGGUAAACGCUACAUUCAAAGUGAAGAGGUGAGAACAUAAGGCUUUUGAAGCAUACAUGCAAGUCAGGGGAACUAGAGAAGACUAUUACUCAAGUUUAGAGAUGUAGCUGAUAUGCUCUUUUUAUUUCUGUUAAGAACAUGG
Long non-coding RNA from Helianthus annuus (common sunflower), 338 nucleotides. RefSeq lists it as uncharacterized. The transcript is spliced from 3 exons. NCBI's taxonomy places the organism in Eukaryota, Viridiplantae, Streptophyta, Magnoliopsida, Asterales, Asteraceae. The record is from RefSeq and is a predicted model, not a curated record.